AUUUACGUACACUUUGACGGCUACGGAAGACGAAAUCCGGCAGCCAAUAAGAGAGUUUGGAGAAAAUAUGGUGGAUGGGAUCGAAAUGUAGACAAAGCGAUUUGUUUAGGCGCUCUGCUAUCAUAAUAAAAAUAUUAAACACUAUUGUAAUAAAUUUAAAGCAUACAGGGAAGAAAUUUGUCCUAAAGGUUCAGAUUUUAAAUAUAAUUAGGACUACGGCUGCCUUAACAAUAUGGGAGUCGCUAGAAUCAGCUGUUUGCAUUAGCUGGUGGCCAAAUAGCUACCACUUGUUUGUAAGCAGUAGCCAAAAUGGAAAUUCUGGUAGCAAUUGGCUACUUGGCUACCAGGUUUGUUGAGCCCUGAAGUUUACUAUUCAUUAGAAAAAAAAUUAUAAAAAAAUCAAAUUUUUAAUAAUAUGAUGCAAGUCAUACAUUAAACUAUAG
Molecule: long non-coding RNA, 443 nt
Filed under: Androctonus crassicauda
Lineage: Eukaryota; Metazoa; Arthropoda; Arachnida; Scorpiones; Buthidae
Source: RNAcentral